This 902-nucleotide long non-coding RNA is filed under the name Ananas comosus (pineapple). RNAcentral describes it as "long non-coding RNA (ACOM_LNC041318)". The record is from RNAcentral. Lineage: Eukaryota; Viridiplantae; Streptophyta; Magnoliopsida; Poales; Bromeliaceae.
AAACCGGAGUUACUAUUCACUUUAAGUGAAAACUAAUAAUCGCGUAACUUCUCCGUUUUAGCUCAUUUUCUUCUGAAACUUGACGAGUGCUUAUAUAGUUAAAUUACACAUAAACAUCAUCAACAGAGAGUUAAAUUACACAUAAACAUCAUCAACAGAGAGUUUAGUAGCACUGUAAAAAUCUCAGUCCUUACAUCACUCCUGUAAUUUUCUUCGCUCUUAAAUAUUGAUGCUUUAAAAUAGAACAUAUUAUUUCCUUACUAUCACUUCUGUAAUUUUCAUUUUGUAAUUUUUUUUCCUACUGUCACUCCUGUAACUUUCCAUCUUCAUGUAACAAAAUUUUUUUUCUUUAUAUUUUCUUGAAAACCAACAUCUAUAUAUUUUUAAAUCUUAAAAGUGACAAUAGGAACAUAAUAUAUGUGUGCUUACUCUAAUUUGUGUCAAAUAUGAAAGUUUACUUGAUCUCAUUAUAUGCUUAAAUAUUAAUGUCAUUUGUAAUUUUUCAUAUCAAUUUUAGUUAUCAUUUUAUUUCGCACAUCAAUAUAUAAAUGUAAAUUAUUUUGCACACCAAUUCAUAGAUAAUAGAGCAGGAUUGAAUUUUGCAUUUUAGUUGAAUAUUUACUUUGGUCCAAAUUUUUUUUUCUCUAGCUUGUGUACUUUAAUAUGUAAUAUAAUUAAGAUUGAUAGCAUAUUUUUUUAUUUGUUAAAAAAAAUAAAAUUAAUUAGAAAAUCUUUUUGUUAUCAUAACAUAAUAAAUUUUAUUAUUCUAUAUUAUUAUAUUAGCCGUGCAUCGCUCGGGUGAAAAUCUAGUUUCUUACAGAAAGAAAUAGAAUAUUUUUAUAUCGUAAUUUUCUAUCUGACGAUGCACGCUUCUUGCAAUUCCAAAUAGAGCCCAAGUCAUG